RNAcentral lists this ribosomal RNA (424 nucleotides) under uncultured bacterium. RNAcentral's name for it is "bacterial SSU rRNA". It matches the Rfam family "Bacterial small subunit ribosomal RNA", at positions 355 to 775 of the family's 1533-position model. The record is from RNAcentral.
UCGAGAAUCUUCGUCAAUGGGCGAAAGCCUGAACGAGCGACGCCGCGUGCGGGAUGAAGGCCCUUGGGUUGUAAACCGCUGUCGAGGGGGAUGAAGGCUUCAAGGUACUCCUUGAAGUUUGACAGAGCCCUGGAGGAAGCACGGGCUAAGUUCGUGCCAGCAGCCGCGGUAAUACGAACUGUGCGAACGUUAUUCGGAAUCACUGGGCUUACAGGGUGCGUAGGCGGCCCGACAAGUCAGGUGUGAAAGCCCUCGGCUCAACCGAGGAACUGCGCUUGAAACUGUUGGGCUCGAGUCAGCUAGGGGUGCACGGAACUUCCAGUGGAGCGGUGAAAUGUGUUGAUAUUGGAAGGAACACCGGAGGCGAAAGUGGUGCACUGGGGCUGGUCUGACGCUGAGGCACGAAAGCCAGGGGAGCGAACGG